UGGGGGAUAUUGCACAAUGGGCGAAAGCCUGAUGCAGCGACGCCGCGUGGGGGAUGAAGGCCUUCGGGUUGUAAACUUCUUUUGCUCUGAACAAGGCGCACCAUGGGGUGUGUUGAGUGUAGGGGUUGAUUAGCGCCGGCUAACUACGUGCCAGCAGCCGCGGUAAUACGUAGGGCGCGAGCGUUGUCCGGAAUUAUUGGGCGUAAAGGGCUGGUAGGUGGCUGGUUGCGUCUGUCGUGAAAGCGCAUGGCUUAUCUGUGGGUUUGCGGUGGGUACGGGCUGGCUUGAGUGCAGUAGGGGAGGCUGGAAUUCCUGGUGUAGCGGUGGAAUGCGCAGAUAUCAGGAGGAAUACCGCUGGGGAAGGCGGGUCUCUGUGCUGUUACUGACACUGAGGAGCGAAAGCAUGGGGAGCGCACAGG
RNAcentral lists this ribosomal RNA (419 nucleotides) under bacterium. RNAcentral's name for it is "partial 16S ribosomal RNA". It matches the Rfam family "Bacterial small subunit ribosomal RNA", at positions 355 to 776 of the family's 1533-position model. The record is from RNAcentral.